Molecule: non-coding RNA, 406 nt
Organism: Bacillus sp. OV166
Lineage: Bacteria; Bacillati; Bacillota; Bacilli; Caryophanales; Bacillaceae
Source: Rfam
ACGUUCGGGUAAUCGCUGUGAGAAGCAUUUGCAUUCUUGCAGAGGAAAGUCCAUGCUCGCACGAGCUGAGAUGCUCGUAGUGUUCGUGCCUAGUGAAUUCAUAAGCUAGGGCAGCUGGGGCUAGCAUCCAGUUGACGGCCGGGAAAAUACCUAAGUCCUUUUGGGGAUAUGGUAUGAAUACCUAUAAAAGUGCCACAGUGACGUAGCCUUUCCAGAAAUGGAAAGGGUGGAACGGGUAAACCCCACGAGCGAGAAACCCAAAUAAUGGUAGGGGCACUUUCUCUUAGGAAUUGAACAAGGAGAAGGACAGGUUCAAAUCUGAACCUGUAGAUAGAUGAUUACCACCUAAGUACGAGACACACCCGUGUCGUUUGGAGUACACUGGUACAGAACAUGGCUUACAGAA